RNAcentral lists this ribosomal RNA (2903 nucleotides) under Escherichia coli. Its description in RNAcentral is "23S ribosomal RNA". It matches the Rfam family "Bacterial large subunit ribosomal RNA". Lineage: Bacteria; Pseudomonadati; Pseudomonadota; Gammaproteobacteria; Enterobacterales; Enterobacteriaceae. The record is from RNAcentral.
UUAAGCGACUAAGCGUACACGGUGGAUGCCCUGGCAGUCAGAGGCGAUGAAGGACGUGCUAAUCUGCGAUAAGCGUCGGUAAGGUGAUAUGAACCGUUAUAACCGGCGAUUUCCGAAUGGGGAAACCCAGUGUGUUUCGACACACUAUCAUUAACUGAAUCCAUAGGUUAAUGAGGCGAACCGGGGGAACUGAAACAUCUAAGUACCCCGAGGAAAAGAAAUCAACCGAGAUUCCCCCAGUAGCGGCGAGCGAACGGGGAGCAGCCCAGAGCCUGAAUCAGUGUGUGUGUUAGUGGAAGCGUCUGGAAAGGCGCGCGAUACAGGGUGACAGCCCCGUACACAAAAAUGCACAUGCUGUGAGCUCGAUGAGUAGGGCGGGACACGUGGUAUCCUGUCUGAAUAUGGGGGGACCAUCCUCCAAGGCUAAAUACUCCUGACUGACCGAUAGUGAACCAGUACCGUGAGGGAAAGGCGAAAAGAACCCCGGCGAGGGGAGUGAAAAAGAACCUGAAACCGUGUACGUACAAGCAGUGGGAGCACGCUUAGGCGUGUGACUGCGUACCUUUUGUAUAAUGGGUCAGCGACUUAUAUUCUGUAGCAAGGUUAACCGAAUAGGGGAGCCGAAGGGAAACCGAGUCUUAACUGGGCGUUAAGUUGCAGGGUAUAGACCCGAAACCCGGUGAUCUAGCCAUGGGCAGGUUGAAGGUUGGGUAACACUAACUGGAGGACCGAACCGACUAAUGUUGAAAAAUUAGCGGAUGACUUGUGGCUGGGGGUGAAAGGCCAAUCAAACCGGGAGAUAGCUGGUUCUCCCCGAAAGCUAUUUAGGUAGCGCCUCGUGAAUUCAUCUCCGGGGGUAGAGCACUGUUUCGGCAAGGGGGUCAUCCCGACUUACCAACCCGAUGCAAACUGCGAAUACCGGAGAAUGUUAUCACGGGAGACACACGGCGGGUGCUAACGUCCGUCGUGAAGAGGGAAACAACCCAGACCGCCAGCUAAGGUCCCAAAGUCAUGGUUAAGUGGGAAACGAUGUGGGAAGGCCCAGACAGCCAGGAUGUUGGCUUAGAAGCAGCCAUCAUUUAAAGAAAGCGUAAUAGCUCACUGGUCGAGUCGGCCUGCGCGGAAGAUGUAACGGGGCUAAACCAUGCACCGAAGCUGCGGCAGCGACGCUUAUGCGUUGUUGGGUAGGGGAGCGUUCUGUAAGCCUGUGAAGGUGUGCUGUGAGGCAUGCUGGAGGUAUCAGAAGUGCGAAUGCUGACAUAAGUAACGAUAAAGCGGGUGAAAAGCCCGCUCGCCGGAAGACCAAGGGUUCCUGUCCAACGUUAAUCGGGGCAGGGUGAGUCGACCCCUAAGGCGAGGCCGAAAGGCGUAGUCGAUGGGAAACAGGUUAAUAUUCCUGUACUUGGUGUUACUGCGAAGGGGGGACGGAGAAGGCUAUGUUGGCCGGGCGACGGUUGUCCCGGUUUAAGCGUGUAGGCUGGUUUUCCAGGCAAAUCCGGAAAAUCAAGGCUGAGGCGUGAUGACGAGGUACUACGGUGCUGAAGCAACAAAUGCCCUGCUUCCAGGAAAAGCCUCUAAGCAUCAGGUAACAUCAAAUCGUACCCCAAACCGACACAGGUGGUCAGGUAGAGAAUACCAAGGCGCUUGAGAGAACUCGGGUGAAGGAACUAGGCAAAAUGGUGCCGUAACUUCGGGAGAAGGCACGCUGAUACGUAGGUGAAGUCCCUCGCGGAUGGAGCUGAAAUCAGUCGAAGAUACCAGCUGGCUGCAACUGUUUAUUAAAAACACAGCACUGUGCAAACACGAAAGUGGACGUAUACGGUGUGACGCCUGCCCGGUGCCGGAAGGUUAAUUGAUGGGGUUAGCGCAAGCGAAGCUCUUGAUCGAAGCCCCGGUAAACGGCGGCCGUAACUAUAACGGUCCUAAGGUAGCGAAAUUCCUUGUCGGGUAAGUUCCGACCUGCACGAAUGGCGUAAUGAUGGCCAGGCUGUCUCCACCCGAGACUCAGUGAAAUUGAACUCGCUGUGAAGAUGCAGUGUACCCGCGGCAAGACGGAAAGACCCCGUGAACCUUUACUAUAGCUUGACACUGAACAUUGAGCCUUGAUGUGUAGGAUAGGUGGGAGGCUUUGAAGUGUGGACGCCAGUCUGCAUGGAGCCGACCUUGAAAUACCACCCUUUAAUGUUUGAUGUUCUAACGUUGACCCGUAAUCCGGGUUGCGGACAGUGUCUGGUGGGUAGUUUGACUGGGGCGGUCUCCUCCUAAAGAGUAACGGAGGAGCACGAAGGUUGGCUAAUCCUGGUCGGACAUCAGGAGGUUAGUGCAAUGGCAUAAGCCAGCUUGACUGCGAGCGUGACGGCGCGAGCAGGUGCGAAAGCAGGUCAUAGUGAUCCGGUGGUUCUGAAUGGAAGGGCCAUCGCUCAACGGAUAAAAAGGUACUCCGGGGAUAACAGGCUGAUACCGCCCAAGAGUUCAUAUCGACGGCGGUGUUUGGCACCUCGAUGUCGGCUCAUCACAUCCUGGGGCUGAAGUAGGUCCCAAGGGUAUGGCUGUUCGCCAUUUAAAGUGGUACGCGAGCUGGGUUUAGAACGUCGUGAGACAGUUCGGUCCCUAUCUGCCGUGGGCGCUGGAGAACUGAGGGGGGCUGCUCCUAGUACGAGAGGACCGGAGUGGACGCAUCACUGGUGUUCGGGUUGUCAUGCCAAUGGCACUGCCCGGUAGCUAAAUGCGGAAGAGAUAAGUGCUGAAAGCAUCUAAGCACGAAACUUGCCCCGAGAUGAGUUCUCCCUGACUCCUUGAGGGUCCUGAAGGAACGUUGAAGACGACGACGUUGAUAGGCCGGGUGUGUAAGCGCAGCGAUGCGUUGAGCUAACCGGUACUAAUGAACCGUGAGGCUUAACCUU